CUUCAUUUGGAGAUGCACUUGUAGUCUUGUGGUUUCUCUCUGAAACAGCCGUUCGAGCUUUUUUGGGAGGAGGUUUCACACAGGUAGAAAACACAGUUUGCAUCAACGAGGACACUGACUUUCCAGAUAUAUGAACUCAAGGUGAUUGAUUAUGAAAAUAUCAUCACCUGGAGGAUCGAGAUGGUCUAUCCGACAAUUGCUGAAAUCCGGGGACUGCCGGGGCUUGAGUCGUGAAGAAGGUCCCAAGGGUCAUCAUCGGAUGGGGAAACUAGGGUUUCUCUGGAGAUGUUUUGUCCCUCUGAUGGCUCAAAGUCCAAGUCCGCAUCGUCCUCUUGAGCAGCUCUGGAGUCUGACUCCUCUCCGUACCGGAGCGCGUUCAGUGGGUCUGACGGAUUCACCUGACGGUUCCUCCGCUCCCGGUGCUGCAGGCGCUCCAGUGGGACAGUGUUCUUCUCUGAUAAGAAGAGAGAUGACUGAGGGAGGUUUUGUCCAGCUAUGAACACCUGUUUUGCCCCAUCCAGGUUAAGCAGUACGCCAUGCUUGGUGGAGUAGUACACGUCACGAUUGUUCUCCAAAAGUUUGUGGUGAAAAAGACAAUCUUCUUUAUUGCAGACCGUCUAAAGACAUACAGAAAUAUACCAAUAGUAAAAUAACAAAUCCAAAGAAGGCAAAGUGUCAUGGCUAUUGUUAUGUACCAAGAGGUAUAAGGGCCAUUCACACCAAGAACUAUAACAUAAACUAUAACGAUAACAAUUGACCGUUGCCAUAUUCCCGGGUUUCUCACAAGCAGAAGUCAUCAUAGUAGGGUAAACUUCUAUAGUGAACGAGAGACUACAUUAAACAUGUUUUUCAUGUUCCCAUUUGCUCAAAUAGCAAAAAAGAAAAACUCCACAAUAGUGUUUCGCAACUUUCAAAAGAGGGGAAAAAAUAGAGAGCUGUCAAAAUUUUACCGUCACUCCCACA
Molecule: non-coding RNA, 963 nt
Organism: Pimephales promelas (fathead minnow)
Lineage: Eukaryota; Metazoa; Chordata; Actinopteri; Cypriniformes; Leuciscidae
Source: RefSeq, a predicted model, not a curated record